UUUUCAAUAGAAGACUUUUAUAUAGCUGCGCUUAUCAGUGGCACCAAAGCACAUUUUGUUUGAGUGUAAACAGAGAUUAUGGAGGAUAAAGGUCACAUACAAAUGUACUAUGUAUGAAUACUAUACAAAAGAGGUAAUAUAUAUCUGCAUAAUAUUUUAUUGCUCAAAAUUUUAACAAUAAAAAAAAAUCUUCGUUUGCAUUAGUAAUUUUUUAUUUCACCUAUACGAAAUAUGGCAAAAUUAUCGACGUAAAGUAUGUUCUGCACCAAAUUGUCAAAAUGGUACAAGUAAGCAACGUAAUUCUGAAACAAAAUAAAUAAAGUUCCGAGUAACAUACUAUUUUCAUUUCCUAAGAAGGGUACUAGUAAACACGUUCUGAAAUGGUGAUUUAUCGGACGUGAAGCCCAGAUGAAGAAGUACUGUGUGAAAUUCAUUUUGAGGAGGAGGAUAUUCAACGAAAUUAUACUGGUAACACUCAACUAUAAAUAAUGAGACUAUGUCAUCAUGGCUCGGUUAAACAUUUUUAGGCCAAUUUUUAUUGGAACCUGCAGUUCCCUAAAAAUAAUGUAGUUAAAGCAACUGAUAUUGAGGAUGGCAUCGUAGUAUCGAGCAGCUGAAUUCAAUCCAAACAUAGUUGAGUGAAACCAAAGAUAAAAUAAACAAUGAUACUCAGACCAAUUUUAUCUAAAACCGUAUGCAUAAUUUCCAAGAAAUGUAAUUAAGAAUAACUAAUAUUGAGGAGGUAUAUAAGUGGAAAAUAAAAGAAUUAAUGUGAUGAUACAACAGUUAAUGAAAACGAAAGUACCUGAGUGUAAAUGAAAGGACUUAAGUAUUAUUGAUACAAACAAAACCACAGUCGAAGAACUUCCGUCAACACUUAACAAAAUCUCUAGAACUAUUGGAAAAACUCCUAAACAAAUAUUUAUGAUGCUACGAUCUACGAGGCAUCAAA
Long non-coding RNA from Cotesia glomerata, 952 nucleotides. RefSeq lists it as uncharacterized. The record is from RefSeq and is a predicted model, not a curated record. NCBI's taxonomy places the organism in Eukaryota, Metazoa, Arthropoda, Insecta, Hymenoptera, Braconidae. The transcript is spliced from 3 exons.